GAUGAACGCUGGCGGCGUGCUUAACACAUGCAAGUCGAACGAAGCAUUUGCGACAGAUUUUUUCGGAAUGAAGUUGCUUAUGACUGAGUGGCGGACGGGUGAGUAACGCGUGGGUAACCUGCCUUGUACUGGGGGAUAGCAGCUGGAAACGGCUGGUAAUACCGCAUAAGCGCACAAUGUUGCAUGACAUGGUGUGAAAAACUCCGGUGGUAUAAGAUGGACCCGCGUCUGAUUAGCUAGUUGGUGAGAUAACAGCCCCCCAAGGCGACGAUCAGUAGCCGACCUGAGAGGGUGACCGGCCACAUUGGGACUGAGACACGGCCCAGACUCCUACGGGAGGCAGCAGUGGGGAAUAUUGCACAAUGGAGGAAACUCUGAUGCAGCGACGCCGCGUGAGUGAAGAAGUAAUUCGUUAUGUAAAGCUCUAUCAGCAGGGAAGAUAGUGACGGUACCUGACUAAGAAGCGCCGGCUAAAUACGUG
This 481-nucleotide ribosomal RNA is filed under the name uncultured bacterium. Its description in RNAcentral is "partial 16S ribosomal RNA". It matches the Rfam family "Bacterial small subunit ribosomal RNA", at positions 28 to 507 of the family's 1533-position model. The record is from RNAcentral.